Molecule: long non-coding RNA, 848 nt
Filed under: Elaeis guineensis (African oil palm)
Lineage: Eukaryota; Viridiplantae; Streptophyta; Magnoliopsida; Arecales; Arecaceae
Description: long non-coding RNA (EGUI_LNC079300)
Source: RNAcentral
CCUUAUUAUAAAUCAGUACUGUGUUAAUAAUACUGCGAUAUUAAAAGAUAGUACUGUCUUAUUAUAAAUCAGUACUACGUUAUUAUAAAAUAAUACUAUCUUGUUGCAUAAUCGUAUGAGGGUAUAAGGGUAUAACGGUUAUUUCAAUUAGAAAUGGAGAGUUAUUCUUAAUUUAUAUUUGGAAUAGAGAACUAUUUUUAAUUUAAAUUCAAAUAAAAAGAUAUUUUUAAUUUGAAAUAUAAAAUAAAUUUUUUAUCUUAUUUAUUAUUAAAUAUAUUUUUUUAAAGAAAUUAUUAUGCAAUCAAUAAUUUAAGAAAUUUUUUUUUUUAAUCUCUAAGAAUUGAAAACGUUCAUGCUUCCACAUGUUAAGUACCAGGCUUCGCUCUCACCCAAUUUAAUUUUUGUAGCGGUGCUGGCCAGGCCCAAUCAUGGCUCAUGUUAGCGGGAUGGUUGAGAUAUCAUGGGUAUCUCGAUAAGGAACCCGAGAGAAUUAUAGCUGAAUUAUUAAAAAAGAAAAACUCAAUCUUUCUUCGCCAAAGUAUGCAAGUCCGCGGCUGGGAGCCCACUUCAAAUUUAGUGAGAAAAAGUGAUUCUGUCAAACUUUUAGAAACCCUAAUCGAUUGCCAUCUCAUUAAAAAAAAAAAANAAAAAAAGAAAAAAGAAACAGCGAGUUUUCGGACUUCUCUUCACCAGUAAUGGCGGUUUGAAUGGGAAGCGCAGAGAAGAAGCAAAUCCUUGUGGCAAUAGAGAAGAAAGAACGAAAAAAAUCAAAAAUGGAUCCCAAAGCGUCGGCCAAAUCGAAGCGAAGCCACUCCCAGCAGGGCCGGAAGAACCACCAGCUGCCGGCC